UUUACUAGCUCAAUCAGUGUACAAAUGGGUGUUGCAAGCAAAAAUACAUGUUAUCUGUAAAAUGGAACUGCCAUUAUCCAAUCAGAGCAUUAAUUAACUAAAGUCAAUACUCAUAUCAAUGAAUAGGCUAUUUGGAGAAAAAAUAGAAGAGCAAAAUCCUUACGACCUUCUGCUUCCUGUGAUCCAGGAAAUACAGCAGGCACCCCUUCAUCCUCACCACCGACUUUCAGGAGUUCCAGCAGUGUCUCUGUCCCCAGUCCCGCCUCUUUUCAGUCUCUGUCCCGUUCACUACCCGGCCCUAUCCACUCCUCCCCGUUUGGCCCCAUCCAGUCCCCUUCCUGCCAUGUGCUGUCCCUGCUCCGGGCUGCAGACAAACCACUGGCGGCCCAAACCGAAGUUGAGAAGUUGUAAGAUGGAAGAAAAGAAGAGCAAUGAAUGAGAGGUGAGGACAAAGAAGGCAGAACGGGAGAGAGGAUGUAAGUAAGAGUAUAGUGAAGGGGCAGGGGGGAGUAGAAGAUAGCAGGGGAGAAUAGGCAAGAGGGAAGAGCAGAAGAUGAGAGAUGAGAACAGAAGGGGGAAGAACAGGAGAAGGAAGAACAGAGGAGAAAAGAGCAGAAGCGAUAACAACUGUAGAUGAACAAAUACAAGUUAUAGAUAUGUAGAUAAGACAGAAGAGUAGAGAUGGUGGGAUGACUGCAGCUGGGUUGCACGGUGGGAUCUUUUCCUGGAGCGGAUUCAUAGUGCUUUGUCUGCUGGACCGGGAAACAAAAAGUCCCAGCUGAAGCACAGCUAAUCCAAGAGGUUAAAAAGCCCUCAGAAACACUGCGCCGAGGGACUGCCUGCACGAAGCACAGCAAAGGCUCCUCUCACAGACCCUGGCUCUCUGCAUUCCGAAAGCCGGCGUGCCGGCUUUGCCCGUCCUCACAGGGCAAGCUCUCACAUUCGCUGAGGCACAGCAGCUGUGGCCACCGGUGGAACUUUGUCACGGCCCUCUGAAUGGCCGGAAAAGCGCGAGUGGGGGGCAGGCAGAGGAGGAGCCGCCGGUCGGAGCGGAGGAAGCCGUUGUCGCGGUUGGGACGGGGCUGUGCGCGUGGCGGCAACGCACGGCUCUGCGCGCGCCCUGGAGACGGGUGAACGCGCGAGCGUCCUCCGCACGUCCCACUGUCCUCGUCGCAAAGCGCGUUAAAGCGCAAAGCGGCUUCAGAGCGAAGGAGCUCCCUCCCGAACUGGGAAAAGCGACGCUAACUCGAUAGCGCCCGCUCCUGCGGGCGGCUUGCCGGCGAUCUCCGAUUCGCGGCUCGCUGGGAGGUACGCAGCCCGUUAGAACGCGUGCCGUGGCUACCGGCUUUCUUGCCGUGACGCCGCUGAGCGCCUCGCGUCCCGUCCGCCCGUAAUGCGGACCGCCGGCCGCCUCUUCCCGCGGCGCCGCCUGCCGGAAGGGCCGGAGAUCGCACCCAGAGCCGACCCGACGCCGCGCUGCCAGAGUUAAUGCUGGCUUUUAGGUUGGUGCCAAGAUGCAACAUUCUCUACUCCUAGCAGUAUGGAAGGAAGGCUUUUUCAGGAGCGUCAGCAGCAGUUUCUGCAGGAACUCUCCCAUGCUUUCAGCACUCAACUUCUGUUGCACACUUUAGGACUUCAUUCUAUAGAUAUGUAUGAAAGAAGUAAUUCAAGAGAUUGAGGCACCCUUCCUCCUUAGGAUGGGAAAGCAAGUUGGAGAAAACAGCUAUAGGCAGGUAUAAGAAAAUAGAACUGAGAGAACUUGCAAAACAAAAGAUUGUGGAGACAAAGUGCAAGGCCAGCCAGAAGCUCAGACGAGGACAGCUGCAUAUUGCCAUCAGCCAGCAGAUGGGCAUGAAGAUGUGAGCAGAGAAAGACCCUAAGGAACAGCAAGGCCACAUCAGAUACAGAGGAGACAGCGGAACCGAAAAAGCAAUUAGCACCAGGAAGAUGUACAGUAAUGUCUACCAUUGCCAUCAUUCUCCCAAUGGCUUCUUCUGUAAGAAGAUGUGUAAGAAGACAAACCGAGCACAAAACUGCUGCCAUAUCUGCAGGAACACCUGGAAAAUAAAAAGUUCUGCUCUCCAG
Phasianus colchicus (ring-necked pheasant) is the source of this 2085-nucleotide long non-coding RNA. RefSeq lists it as uncharacterized. The record is from RefSeq and is a predicted model, not a curated record. Lineage: Eukaryota; Metazoa; Chordata; Aves; Galliformes; Phasianidae.